UCUCUUUAGUAUAUAAUCGAUUAUCUAGUAUCAAUAAUCGAUUAUGUUGAUAUUAUUUGCAUUAUUAUGUAUUUUACUUUUUCCAUUUUUGCUAAUGUCAAAAGGGGGAAGAAUAAGAGAUAUGCACCUAAUUUUUAUUGGCAUAAAGUGAGGGGGAAUUCAUAUAUUGAGGGGGAACCAAUUGCAUAUCUAUAUACUUGUUGCAUAUCUA
This 211-nucleotide long non-coding RNA is filed under the name Nicotiana benthamiana. RNAcentral describes it as "long non-coding RNA (NBEN_LNC000350)". Lineage: Eukaryota; Viridiplantae; Streptophyta; Magnoliopsida; Solanales; Solanaceae. The record is from RNAcentral.